Molecule: ribosomal RNA, 293 nt
Filed under: uncultured archaeon
Lineage: Archaea
Description: partial 16S ribosomal RNA
Rfam family: Archaeal small subunit ribosomal RNA
Source: RNAcentral
UAAUACCAACUCCCCGAGUGGUCAGGGUGUUUACUGGGCUUAAAGCGUCCGUAGCCGGCCUAGUAAGUUCCCUGUUAAAUCCGAUGUUCCAAGCAUCGGGCUGCAGGGAAUACUGCUAGGCUUGGGAGCGGGAGAGGUCGGCGGUACCUCCCGGGGAGGGGUAAAAUCCUUAGAUCCGGGGGGGACCAUCGGUGGCGAAGGCGGCCGACCAGAACGCGUCCGACGGUGAGGGACGAAAGCUGGGGGUGCGAUCCGGAUUAGAUACCCGGGUAGUCCCAGCUGUAAACGAUGCA